Molecule: ribosomal RNA, 664 nt
Filed under: uncultured beta proteobacterium
Lineage: Bacteria; Pseudomonadati; Pseudomonadota; Betaproteobacteria
Description: bacterial SSU rRNA
Rfam family: Bacterial small subunit ribosomal RNA
Source: RNAcentral
CGAACGGUAACAGGUCUUCGGAUGCUGACGAGUGGCGAACGGGUGAGUAAUACAUCGGAACGUGCCCAGUAAUGGGGGAUAGCUCGGCGAAAGCCGGAUUAAUACCGCAUACGCCCUGAGGGGGAAAGUGGGGGAUCGCAAGACCUCACGUUAUUGGAGCGGCCGAUGGCUGAUUAGCUAGUUGGUAGGGUAAAGGCCUACCAAGGCGACGAUCAGUAGCUGGUCUGAGAGGACGAUCAGCCACACUGGGACUGAGACACGGCCCAGACUCCUACGGGAGGCAGCAGUGGGGAAUUUUGGACAAUGGGGGAAACCCUGAUCCAGCAAUGCCGCGUGUGCGAAGAAGGCCUUCGGGUUGUAAAGCACUUUUGUCAGGGAAGAAAUCCUUUGGGCUAAUACCCUAGGGGGAUGACGGUACCUGAAGAAUAAGCACCGGCUAACUACGUGCCAGCAGCCGCGGUAAUACGUAGGGUGCAAGCGUUAAUCGGAAUUACUGGGCGUAAAGCGUGCGCAGGCGGUUGUGUAAGACAGGUGUGAAAUCCCCGGGCUUAACCUGGGAAUUGCAUUUGUGACUGCACGACUAGAGUGUGUCAGAGGGGGGUGGAAUUCCACGUGUAGCGAGUGAAAUGCGUAGAUAUGUGGAGGAACACCAAUGGCGAAGGCA